This 77-nucleotide transfer RNA is filed under the name Gammaproteobacteria bacterium. RNAcentral describes it as "tRNA-Arg". It matches the Rfam family "tRNA". From Rfam's summary of the family: Transfer RNA (tRNA) molecules are approximately 80 nucleotides in length. Lineage: Bacteria; Pseudomonadati; Pseudomonadota; Gammaproteobacteria. The record is from RNAcentral.
GCCCCGGUAGCUCAGAAGGAUAGAGCAGCCGCCUCCUAAGCGGCAGGUCGCAGGUUCGAAUCCUGCCCGGGGCGCCA